Molecule: ribosomal RNA, 167 nt
Filed under: Clostridioides difficile
Lineage: Bacteria; Bacillati; Bacillota; Clostridia; Peptostreptococcales; Peptostreptococcaceae
Description: partial 16S ribosomal RNA
Rfam family: Bacterial small subunit ribosomal RNA
Source: RNAcentral
GGGUCUUGUACACACCGCCCGUCACACCACGGGAGUUGGAGACGCCCGAAGCCGAUUAUCUAACCUUUUGGAAGAAGUCGUCGAAGGGGGAAUCAAUAACUGGGGUGAAGUCGUAACAAGGUAGCCGUAUCGGAAGGUGCGGCUGGAUCACCUCCUUUCUAAGGAGA